ACCCUACAAAUGAGCGUCUUUUCUAAUGUUUAGCGACCAGACCAAGGCCUUGUUUGUGGGAGGAAAAGGUUGAAGAUGCACGUGAAAUGUUAUUAGCAGGUCAAAUCAGAUCCUAUAUUUGACGAUCAAACAAAUUUCCAAACCGGAGCCGUGAAAUAGCGUCUCGUCAGGGUCUCUGCUUGUUUCUGUGUAAAUCAGAGUUUUGUAAACCACUAGCCGUUAACAUCUGCAGUUUGAGCUCUAACUUAUAUUACACAGAACUCUUUUAACCGUCCAUCACCAUGAGUUGGUUUGGUAAGAAAUCUGUAUAUAAUGGAGCCCAUCCACAUUGUGGUUGACAUGUUGAAAUUUAUAUCAGGGAUGUGGGGAAACUUUUUUUUGUUUUGUUUUUAAUCUUUCCCUAAAGAGAAAGCAGAUUGUCUUAUUCCCGUCAAAUCAGCCACUGUGUUCUGUUGCUGUUAUUUAAGAAGUCCGGUGGUUUGGGCCGUUUUCAGACCCUUAUCAAUAACAAUUAGUUGUUUAUAAGGGAAGGAAAGAUGACAACAUGAUGUUGUAGGCCAAACUCUUCGCUCAUUUUUCAUGUUCAAGAGCAAAGAUCAAAAUGAGAAUCAGCAGCAAUCCUUACAAAACUCUCAAAAUGUGUCAAAAUGUGUAUUUUUAUUCACAUGACUAAGCUAAACCGACUACCCAGUAUUCCCUAGUGUUACUUGACUGCUAACGGCACUGAGGGCCAGUCAACAUGUAUUAGACGGAUGAAAUAAACGACACGAGGCUGUCAACAGGUCGGAAUCAUAACGUGUGCAGUGUUUGCUGUAUUUUUUUUACUCAUUGGAGAACAUUUCUUUACAUAUUGAAGUAGCAAAUAACCUUCCAUUUGCCAAGUUUUAUAUUGCUUGUAUACAAACACACUAUGUACAUACAGUAUGUGGUAGUGGUAUAGGAAGUGUCUGGAUAUUUGAGAAAAUACAAAAAACCAUGUCUAGUUAGGUGGAUUUCUUAUAGCAUCUGUCCGCUGAGGACUUACUGAUGGAAAUGUGCUUCCUACACCGCAAAACUUGGAAAUGACAUUGUAAAUAAAGCUUGUAUAAAACAGGCUGCUUGUCUGUUUUGAUAUGUUUUGCAUAAUUUUCUUGCUAUCAGUCACCAGACACGCGUCGUCAGACCUCAAAGUUGGCUGCUGGAGGG
Long non-coding RNA from Amphiprion ocellaris (clown anemonefish), 1185 nucleotides. Lineage: Eukaryota; Metazoa; Chordata; Actinopteri; Pomacentridae. The record is from Ensembl.